This 299-nucleotide long non-coding RNA is filed under the name Gossypium barbadense (sea-island cotton). RNAcentral describes it as "long non-coding RNA (GBAR_LNC012756)". Lineage: Eukaryota; Viridiplantae; Streptophyta; Magnoliopsida; Malvales; Malvaceae. The record is from RNAcentral.
ACCGGAUUUGUUUGAACGAAUCCCGUGAACCACUCACUCAUCAUUUGGAAGAAGGCUUGCUUAGCCUCUCCUCCAUGGCUAUUAGUUUCGAGACUAGAAUCAGACUGCAGUGCCCCUUGAGCGAGAGUGGGUGCAUUACUUUUAACAUUGUCAGCUACGGCUCGAUCAAGAUCCACUUGCUAUAUGAAAACACAAUUUAAGCUGUCAGGAAUCAUCACACUAUCACACUUUAUCUAUAUGGCAUGUAUGGCUAGACUCUCACUCACUACGUCAGUCCUAGAAUUGACUAAACCGUAGCU